CCUACGGGUGGCAGCAGUGGGGAAUAUUGGGCAAUGGGCGCAAGCCUGACCCAGCAACGCCGCGUGAAGGAAGAAGGCUUUCGGGUUGUAAACUUCUUUUAUCAGGGACGAAACACAUGACGGUACCUGAUGACUAAGCCACGGCUAACUACGUGCCAGCAGCCGCGGUAAUACGUAGGUGGCAAGCGUUAUCCGGAUUUACUGGGUGUAAAGGGCGUGUAGGCGGGCUUGCAAGUCAGAUGUGAAAUUCCAGGGCUCAACCCUGGAACUGCAUUUGAAACUGUAGGUCUUGAGUGCGGGAGAGGCAAUCGGAAUUCCGGGUGUAGCGGUGAAAUGCGUAGAUAUACGGAGGAACACCAGUGGCGAAGGCGGAUUGCUGGACAGUAACUGACGCUGAGGCGCGAAAGCGUGGGGAGCAAACAGGAUUAGAUACCCCGGUAGUC
Molecule: ribosomal RNA, 443 nt
Filed under: uncultured bacterium
Lineage: Bacteria
Description: partial 16S ribosomal RNA
Rfam family: Bacterial small subunit ribosomal RNA
Source: RNAcentral